RNA transcript from Serinus canaria (Common canary), 5605 nucleotides. It is a transcript of the gene named protein argonaute-1, with no coding region annotated. The transcript is spliced from 20 exons. NCBI's taxonomy places the organism in Eukaryota, Metazoa, Chordata, Aves, Passeriformes, Fringillidae. The record is from RefSeq and is a predicted model, not a curated record.
UGCGGCACCGGCCCCGGCCCUGCCCGGCCCCGGCCCCCGGCACGGCCCUGCCCCGGCCCCCGGCUCGGAGCGGCGCCCGCGUGGAUGGGAUGGAAGCGGGACCCUCGGGAGCAGCUGCAGGCGCAUACCUGCCCCCCUUGCAGCAGGUGUUUCAAGCACCACGUCGGCCUGGGAUAGGAACUGUUGGAAAGCCCAUCAAGCUCCUGGCCAACUACUUUGAAGUGGACAUUCCCAAGAUCGAUGUGUAUCAUUAUGAAGUGGAUAUCAAACCCGAUAAAUGUCCACGCAGAGUCAACAGGGAAGUCGUGGAGUACAUGGUGCAGCACUUCAAACCGCAGAUCUUUGGUGACCGAAAACCAGUCUACGACGGGAAGAAGAACAUCUACACUGUCACAGCCUUACCCAUUGGGAACGAGCGGGUUGACUUUGAGGUGACAAUCCCAGGGGAAGGCAAGGACAGGAUAUUUAAAGUCUCUAUAAAAUGGAUGGCCAUCGUGAGCUGGCGCAUGCUGCACGAGGCCCUGGUCAGCGGGCAGAUCCCUGUCCCACUGGAGUCCGUCCAGGCGCUGGAUGUUGCCAUGAGGCACCUGGCUUCCAUGAGGUACACUCCCGUCGGCCGCUCCUUCUUCUCCCCCCCUGAAGGCUACUACCACCCCCUGGGAGGGGGCAGGGAGGUCUGGUUCGGCUUCCACCAGUCAGUCCGGCCUGCCAUGUGGAAGAUGAUGCUCAACAUCGAUGUGUCGGCCACUGCCUUCUACAAAGCCCAGCCUGUCAUCGAGUUCAUGUGUGAGGUGCUGGACAUCCGGAACAUCGAUGAGCAGCCCAAGCCCCUGACAGACUCACAGAGAGUGCGUUUCACCAAGGAGAUCAAAGGUCUGAAGGUGGAGGUGACCCACUGUGGACAGAUGAAGAGGAAAUACCGUGUGUGUAACGUUACCCGACGGCCAGCCAGCCACCAGACGUUCCCACUGCAGCUGGAGAGUGGUCAAACAGUGGAGUGCACAGUGGCUCAGUACUUCAAGCAGAAAUACAACCUGCAGCUGAAAUAUCCUCACCUGCCCUGUCUCCAGGUUGGCCAGGAACAGAAACACACAUACCUUCCCUUGGAGGUGUGUAACAUCGUGGCAGGCCAGCGGUGUAUCAAGAAGCUCACGGACAAUCAAACCUCAACCAUGAUAAAAGCAACAGCGAGGUCUGCCCCAGACAGGCAGGAGGAGAUCAGUCGCCUGAUGAAGAAUGCCAGCUACAACCUGGAUCCAUACAUUCAGGAGUUUGGGAUCAAGGUGAAGGAUGAUAUGACGGAGGUGACAGGGCGGGUCCUGCCAGCUCCCAUCCUACAGUAUGGAGGCCGGAACCGGGCCAUUGCAACUCCCAAUCAGGGCGUGUGGGACAUGCGAGGGAAGCAGUUCUACAACGGCAUUGAGAUCAAAGUCUGGGCCAUUGCCUGCUUUGCCCCGCAGAAGCAGUGUCGAGAGGAGGUGCUGAAGAACUUCACAGACCAGCUGCGCAAGAUCUCCAAGGACGCCGGGAUGCCGAUCCAGGGCCAGCCCUGCUUCUGCAAGUACGCCCAGGGUGCAGACAGUGUGGAGCCCAUGUUCCGACACCUCAAGAACACCUAUUCAGGGCUUCAGCUCAUCAUUGUCAUCCUGCCAGGGAAGACGCCGGUGUACGCCGAAGUGAAGCGUGUUGGGGACACUCUCCUGGGAAUGGCAACACAGUGCGUCCAGGUCAAGAAUGUGGUGAAAACCUCCCCACAGACCCUUUCCAACCUCUGCCUCAAGAUCAACGUCAAGCUUGGCGGGAUUAACAACAUCCUUGUGCCUCACCAGCGCUCUGCCGUGUUUCAGCAGCCAGUGAUCUUCCUCGGAGCUGAUGUCACUCACCCGCCAGCAGGAGAUGGGAAGAAACCCUCCAUAACGGCUGUUGUGGGCAGCAUGGACGCCCACCCGAGCCGGUACUGUGCCACGGUGCGCGUGCAGCGUCCUCGCCAAGAGAUCAUCGAGGACUUGUCCUACAUGGUGAGGGAGCUCCUCAUCCAGUUCUACAAAUCCACACGCUUCAAACCCACCAGGAUCAUCUUCUACCGUGAUGGUGUUCCUGAGGGGCAGCUCCCACAGAUCCUUCACUAUGAGCUCCUGGCAAUCCGAGACGCCUGCAUCAAACUGGAAAAGGAUUACCAGCCUGGCAUCACCUACAUCGUCGUCCAGAAGAGGCAUCACACCCGUCUCUUCUGUGCAGACAAGAAUGAGAGGAUUGGAAAGAGUGGGAACAUCCCAGCAGGAACAACAGUGGAUACCAAUAUCACCCACCCCUUUGAGUUUGACUUCUACCUGUGCAGUCAUGCAGGCAUUCAGGGCACAAGCCGGCCGUCCCACUACUACGUGCUCUGGGAUGACAACCGGUUCACGGCGGACGAGCUGCAGAUCCUCACGUACCAGCUGUGCCACACCUACGUGCGCUGCACCCGCUCCGUCUCCAUCCCAGCCCCAGCCUAUUAUGCCCGGCUGGUGGCGUUCCGGGCACGGUACCACCUCGUGGAUAAGGAGCACGACAGUGGCGAGGGCAGCCAUAUAUCUGGACAGAGCAACGGCAGAGACCCCCAGGCCUUGGCGAAGGCUGUGCAGGUUCAUCAGGACACUUUACGUACCAUGUACUUUGCUUGAAAGCCUAACUUUUGUUACCUCACUCAAGAAAGCUUUCAGAUUUGUAGGAGCCAUACAAAAAAGGAAGCAUUGGGACACCUUGUUUUUUUUUUUCCAAUGAGAAAUCACUGCAGGGCAGGCAGUGUCGACUUGAGGCAGGAGACCAGCACCAUGCGACAGAAUGAUCCAACACCUUUGUAGGAUUGGAAGAGACUGAUGAUGAUUAUUUUUUUAAUUUUUUCUGGCUUUGCAAAAUUUUGACCUGACCAAACACAUGAAGGCAUUCAAGGGAAGGGAUAAAACUCCUGGGAGGCGGAAGCAGGUUUUCAUUUUUAAGAUGCAAUACUAGAGACUCCUGACUGUGAACUGGCGGCUUUGGUUCUCCGUUGCCCACCAGGCGCUGGAACCUGGUCACUGCUUUUCAGACCCGUUUUGCUGCACAGUGAUCGUACGCACGGCGGCGGGGCCGUGGUGGCAGCUCAGUACCAAUAUCAUCCGGGCACAUUAUCUGGGUUUUUCUCUAUGAAAGUGUUCACAGCGCUUCCUUCAAGACACAAACGAGGCGCACGCUCCUGCCACGUUCUGAGGGGAAGAGCUCUGGUAUCAUUUUCCUGCCGAACGUGUUUCCCAGGUGGCCCCACGCGAGUGCUGCCCCUGGCCCGCACACGGACAGAAGCACAUCUACACCUCUUUGGUUUGUACUUUCUGACGUUUAAACUUGCCUUGCCUUCAUGAAAACCACAACGGUCAUGUUGGCCCAUUGAGCUGUCCUAACCCCGGGAAUUCACUCUUCCUGUUUUCUUUUGGGGCAACGUGUUUGUGAACAGUGACAACAUCACUAUGCUAUGCAAACUAAGUGCUGAGCCCACUGAUGUCACAUUUGGUGAAGAUCCUACGUUUAGCACAGUCCUGUUUUCCUCAAGACCACACUGUUUGGUUCAUAUCCUCCUUUGCACCUUGUGUCAACCUCCACUGCUGUAUAUCCUCAAGGUGACGGGGAGGAGACCAGGACCUCUAUCCGUGGUCUGUAGGUAGGGAACUCUUAGGAAGGCUUUUAGAGCGUAGGGAGCACAUCAACACUAAGUGUCAACAUGAGAAGCCUACAUUCCUCUACACAAGUGCCUGCAUAGUGACACCAAUCAUCACCUCCAUCGCAUCCUCUGAACUCUGACUUAUGUUCAUUGAAAGCAAAACAAUCUCAGAGGGGCUGUUCCCGCUCACCUGGUGUUAGAAAGCUCCUCAUUAAGAAUAAAAUCGGGGUCAAGGUCAAGGUUCUCUCUGCAAAUCAGUUUGUUCACCAGCAUUACACCGGAACACGCCUGGCUGCUGCUCUGCAGUGAGGGGCAAAGGUAUUUUGGUUCCUCGUUUUAAUUUUAGUGUUUUAGUUGGGUCUAGAAUUCUGAAAUAUCUUUUAGUAGCUGUGGCAUAGCACGUGCCAUUUUUAACCAUUUGAAAAGAGAUAGUGUGGGCAUUUACAGAAACAGCUUGUUGCUCUGUAACAAUUUUUUUUAACCUUGAGACUUGAAAUGUAAAAUGGACCUUUAAGAUUUGCACUCAUUUGUAAGGUGGCUGUUCAUAGAAAACUAUGAAUGAAGACUUGCUGAUGUAGCACCUACUUUUAACAGCAAUUUUAACUACACAAAAGCUUCACACCUUCUGAAACUCUCAGCUGUUGACUUGCAGAUCGUGUUCUGCCCUUAUUUCACCCUCUGCGUUGGGUUUUCAUGGUUUUGGAUAAACAAAAAAGCCAAACUCAGUAGCUGCUGUGCCCUUUAAACCCUGUUUCCACUUUGAAGAAGUUUAGAGAGGUUGGAGUGACCCGCAUGUUUUCUAUACCGGACUAUGCACCGUACCCUCUCCGCGCUCUGGCAUCAGCAUUUCUCCCCCUCUCUUGUCUGAGAUGCAAACGAGUAGCUGCAUGUUGAGGUGCAUUUUGCUGCCUGUAGCGGAUAGGUGUUACCCCAGGUACAUAUCAGGAUCUGUAGUUAGCCACAAACCCUACACGGGCAUCCCAAUCAGCUCCAAGUCUCUGCCUUCUCCAGUGCGCCUGGAAGCGUUGCUGAGUGCAUGCAGUUGUGUGGGAAGAGGAGUAGCUUUCAUUUACCUGUAGAAUGCUAUUGUUUCCUUUAUCUCAUAUCUGAGCAGAAUGGAGUGGGAGAGCUGCUCUGCCCUCUCCCCGCAGCUUCAAGGGCAGUCGGGGUGUUCUGGGAUCGCACACGAUGUCUCAAACAGCCCAAGCAUCCAGUGUUGCCUCGUGGAAGGUUUUCUUCUUGGAAAAUCAGUGUGAAAUAAAAGAAUGUGAUUGUUUCAGGAAGGGAAGCCAGACAGCAGGAGAGCAAUAAACAAGUGAAAUUCUUAUCUUGCCUGAGUGAUUUGCACUUCAAUAGUUGUGAAAGAAAAUUUCCAGGACUCCAGUGCUUUUGUGUUUGAUUUUCAGCCCCUUUCGUACCUCCUUUCUAUGAGCAAGUGUGGAACUGUACAUAGGGUGUUUACAGGACGCUCCAUUUGGGUUAUUUUUCUUGUGGGUUUUUUUUUUUGCUCUAGCUUGAACUCUGUAUGGUCCAUUUGUUAAAUAGCCGUGAACACUUGAUGUACAGUACUUACUGAACAAGCAGCAGCACAAAACUUAUUUUAUUAAGAAAAUAUGGCUUAUAUUUUAAAGGUUGAAUAUCAAUUUUUUUUUUGUAUGUGUGGAAUUAAGACUGGUGAAGAGUUACAAAAUCCUUGGAUUAGGCCAAAAGAAAAUACUGUAAGAUCCUAACCACCUCUUUAUUAAAGAAAGCAGUAUGAUUAAAGAGCUCCAGAACAUUGUAUUUAUAUUGGAUUUGAUUUAAUUGCCUUUGUGGAUUUUUUUUUUUUUUUGCCUUGGUCCUGAUUUUUGCUUGCAACUUCGACUUUGCAGUCCCAAGUGUCUGUUACCCUGUAACUGUUGGCAGAAGACCUAAAUAAAAGCAAUGUGAUUA